GGAACGAGGCGGGAACGGCCCGCAGCUGCGGCACCGGCGGCGGUUGAGCCGGCGUGGCGUGGGAAGGCGCCGUCGUUGACAUUUGCCAUUAAGGUACGGACAGAGGUCGGAUCCCGCCGGUCGUGCGGCACCCGGAGCCGCGGGGCGCCGGCACCGGCGGCUCCGAGCGGAGACCGACCGCCUCGGCCGGAAUCGGGUUCGCCGCGGGUUAAAAAUACCGCCGGAGCGCCCGGCUCCGCUCGGAGGCGUCGGGUGCCGGCGCGGGGCCUCCUGCGGGCGGGCCGGGCUCGGGCCGCGCCGGCGCCCCGCGGGACGCGGCUGUCGGCCGGCGGCUUAAGGGAGCGGGGCCCCGGCCCGGCCGGGGGAGGAAGAGCGGGGCAGCGCCGCCAGCGCCCGGCGGCGGCGGAGGGGCGUCCCGCAGCACGGGCGAGCGGCCGAUCCGCGCCCCCCGUCCUCGUCCUCCCGCCGCGGGGCCGGGGCCCUCCCCGCCGCGCCGAGCGCCGCCGCUGGCUGCCGCCGGAGUGGCCCGGCCGAGCGGCCGCCGCCGGGGCCGGCUCCGAUCCGCCAUUAUCCUUUGUUCGCGGCGCGGCGGCGGCGGGGACGGUGCGGGGCUCGGCUCCAUCUUUAAGGCGGGCGCCCCUCCCGCGGGCGGUGCGAGGCCGGGCUCCCCGCGUCCCGCCGCCCGCCGGCCGCCCCGGUCCCCGCCGGGCUCCGUUUCCUUCCCUCCCCCCCGCCCCUGUUCGCUGGGCGCCGUCCUCCUCUUACCGGUUGCGGGCUGCUCCGUCACUGCUUUCGUUCGCGCCUGGGAUCUCGCCGCAGUUUUAUUCUCUCCCCCACGUAACACACCGCGUCAAACUACACCUCCGCCGCGUCACUCACACACACACAGGCGCUCCCAGCCCGGCGACAGGCAGGCAGCGGCCGACUGAGGAGCGCCAGCCAGGGAGCAAGCGCCGAGCGCAACGCGGCCCGCACGGAAACCGCCGAGCGCUCACGGAAACCGCCGAACGCGCGGCGGGCGGCGGGAACGGCCGAGCGCGCCGCCGGCCUCCUCGGAAAGAGCCGAGCGGGCGCGGAAACGAACGAAGCGGCCCGGAGGGGUGGCGGAAAGAGCCGAGCGGCCGCGGGAAGGCGCGAACCGCGCUUCCGCCCCAGGCGGCCCGCGGGGCGGGUGGCGUUGGCCGCCAAUAG
Molecule: long non-coding RNA, 1191 nt
Filed under: Coturnix japonica (Japanese quail)
Lineage: Eukaryota; Metazoa; Chordata; Aves; Galliformes; Phasianidae
Description: lncRNA (ENSCJPG00005015352.1)
Source: RNAcentral